GUUUGUGGCUCAGUGAUAAGAGUGCUCGCCUAGCAUGCAUGAGGCACUGGGAUCAAUCCUCAGCACAACA
RNAcentral lists this transfer RNA (70 nucleotides) under Marmota monax (woodchuck). Its description in RNAcentral is "tRNA.Ala". Lineage: Eukaryota; Metazoa; Chordata; Mammalia; Rodentia; Sciuridae. The record is from RNAcentral.